This is a long non-coding RNA of Musa acuminata AAA Group (dessert banana), 2951 nucleotides long. RefSeq lists it as uncharacterized. The record is from RefSeq and is a predicted model, not a curated record. The transcript has 7 exons. Lineage: Eukaryota; Viridiplantae; Streptophyta; Magnoliopsida; Zingiberales; Musaceae.
GGUCUCUUCUUGAGUUCGUUGGUCGGCGGAGGAGGAGGCGACCGAGCAGAUUACGGUGAUGGUGGGGACGACGGAGGAGAGCGUGUCCGAGGAGACGUUGGAGUCGAUGGAGAAGGUGACGGGGAACCAUGGAGGAGCGCGACCUCCUAUCGGUCGCCUACGAGAACGUCGUCGGCACCAUCCGCCCCUCGAAUCGUCUCCUUCAUGAAGCAGAAGGAUCAGAGUUCGGUAAUGGGUCGGCGUCGCCGGAUCCAUGGCUACUGAGCCAAGAUCCAGACCGAGCUUGGCAUCCUCUGCCUCGGCGCUGGUUCGAGGUUUACAAUGUCAUGAAGUGCCACGACCGACGCCUACCCGGCCGUGUUCAAGAUCGGCUUCGGCAAUAGCUACGCCGCCUACAGAUCCGUCCAGGGCGAGAUAAGGCCAUGCUGAAUCUUGGGGACAUUGGGAUGUCGAUCUGGCAGUCGCUUGUGAACCUUGCAAUAAGAUGAUGCUCAAGAUGACCGCCUAAGCAUCCAAUCACGUUGAGGCUGUGGCACAACUUUAAGGUGUUACAUCACUCUGCUGUCAGAUCCGUUGAUCAUUCAGGAGAAGCACAUCUUUAAGGCAUUUUACGGAGCAAUUGCAGGGCUGGAUACCCUAAGAGAGGAAUGCUAAGUUAUGUUUCAUCGUGCCAGCACUGGAAGAAUCCAAUUCAUUGUGGUGGAUGUGUUUUCAAUGGGAGGAUGGAGGAAAUGAGAUUAAAUAACCAACCAAACGUGAAACAAACAGUAGUUAUGAUUAGUAGUGUCAACCUGGUGACGUUGGUUUCGACAAUACCAGAAAUGGAGCAGGCAGUGAUCACCAAAACGUUUACUGAUAACAUCAUAUCAACAGACCUGGUCUCCUUGCUCGAUCAUCGUCAAUGAGAAGAAAGUUUUCCCAAGUGCCAGCGGCAAUAUCACAGUUACCUCAAAAUACCUAAAGGAAUUGUCAGAGCCUGACAGGUAUCUGAUGGUGUACUGUAGAUCGAUAAAUUUAUUGAACUUCAGCAAUCGACUGGAUGCGAUAAACACGUGGACGAAGCUAUAGUUUUGUUCCAUUCUCUGCUCUCCGUCCUGCAUAUAUCUCAGGCCUUCAACUGGAGGCUCCAUGGUUGAUCAAGGCCGUCCUUGUCGUCGUCCACUGCAAGAACGGUCGAUAUUGCUUCAGCCGGCGUCCCCUUGGUGUCGUUUGUGAUCGGACGGGAAGCAUUCGCUGAUAUCCCCCACCGAUCUGGCUCUGCCUUUGCCGACACUAAUCGGCAUGCGACAGAAUUCAGACAAUGAUAACGAAGGCUGUAGGUUCCCAUCAUGCACGGACGUUUGGUACCCGGGGACCAGUCAGAGAGGCGCACGUGUAAGGAGCAGGACGGCUGGAGUGACAGCUAAGUUCCGUAAGUUCUGAAGUUUGGGUCCGAUCCAAUCUAAACACACACGCCAGAGAAAGUGACGGUUGGUCAGCUGCUGCUGCUACGGCCUCAUUUCGCGUCUGCAAAACUCACACCUGUGACAUAGGUUGGGCCUCUCCUACUUUUGGAACAUGCAUAGGUGACCGUGAACCGAGCCUUCCACCCCCCCCGACUGUGGUGGUGGCUCAGUUCGUUUGGGACUGCAGGCGUUGUCACCGGUUGUUGACAGCCAAGCUGGUGUUGCUACUUCCACAUGGGGUAGGAUUGGUAAGUUACCCCUUCUCACUGUGCACCAGGGGCGUAAUUUCUGUGACUUACGAUGGGGUAGGAUUGCUACUUCCACAUGUAGCUUAUUAUUUAGAGUAUUUUUAAAAAAAUUAAAAUAAUUGACAAUUCUCUAUUCAUAUUAAAAAAUAAUAAUAAAAUAAUUUUACUAUUUACCGUUCUUGAUUUUAUACUUGUUUCUUUCAUUUCUUAUAUCUAUGUGAUCAUCACCUAUGCACUUUGUUGUCUAUGUCAUUUGUCGCUCCACCACCACCCCCACCCCAAGUUGAUAGUUGCCCUUUCUUGUCGAAAUGUCGAUCCCUCUUUGGCCCACGCUUGUCAUCAAUUGUCGUUCCCUAAAUUAUACUCUCAACUCAUGUUUCGAUUUCACUCAUUACCCUCUCAACCUUUUUUUAAGGAGGAGAGGAAGAAGAAGAGGGAGAAUAUUUAUGUCUAUUUUAUAAAAAAUAAAUAAAUAUUAAUUUUUUAAAAAAAGAAUAUUAUAAAUAGUAAAAAUAUUAUAAAAAAUAAUAUCUUAUUCGAUGACCUUGGUAUCAUACUUCCAGGACUGUCGAGCCCAUUUGAACAUUCAAUAAAAUAAUGUGACUCUCAAAUAAUAAACAAAGUCCAACAAAAAUAUGUUUUCUCCUGCUUUUUUAGUAAUAAUAUCUAUGUUGGAUUGGACUUUAAUAUUGUUUGAGAUGAUUUUCGUGCGUAAAGCAAUUUUAUCCUCUAUCAUCAUACGGCUGGAGAAGAUUAGUGUCUAGAAAUCCAACUAUUACCGUUGGUCAUUACUCUACUAGUGAGGUAAAUUCAUCGGAGAAACCAUAGUUAGUCUCACAAAAAAAUUGACGUCAAUGUCUUGUUUUGUGGAGAGUUAACGAUCACUUGGGUCACAACAAGACCAUAUGAGUGCACUUCGGAUUGAAUAAUUCAUCUUAGGUUAAUGUUACUGUGGUGAUCUCAUCAGGCUGCGCUGAUCGUGGGGUCUGCAGAGGAGUCUUAAUAUUUCAGUUAAUCUGUAAUCAAUCUCUAAUGAGAUCCUAUUUAGUAUCCUAUUGUUUGGAGAGUAGGAGAGACACGAAAGUGUGCAACUUUUAUACUCUAUUGUCACAAGGUUGCAGAAGAUUAGUAUCUAUAGAUCCAAAUGCUAUUUUCUACCUUUUUGAUCUAAGUGAUAUGCAAAUAUAUCAAUAGAAGCCACAUAUAGUCUUACACCUUAAAGAAUCGACUUCAUAUUACCGUGUCAACUAUACAGACC